RNAcentral lists this transfer RNA (75 nucleotides) under Candidatus Kaiserbacteria bacterium. Its description in RNAcentral is "tRNA-Arg". It matches the Rfam family "tRNA". From Rfam's summary of the family: Transfer RNA (tRNA) molecules are approximately 80 nucleotides in length. Their secondary structure includes four short double-helical elements and three loops (D, anti-codon, and T loops). Lineage: Bacteria; Candidatus Kaiseribacteriota. The record is from RNAcentral.
GCCCUCGUCGUUCAAUGGAUAGGACGUCAGCUUGCGGAGCUGAUAAUGUCAGUUCGAUUCUGGCCGAGGGCACAA